GUACGUACAAGCAGUGGGAGCACAGGUUUACCUGUGUGACUGCGUACCUUUUGUAUAAUGGGUCAGCGACUUAUAUUCUGUAGCAAGGUUAACCGAAUAGGGGAGCCGGAGGGAAACCGAGUCUUAAUUGGGCGUUAAGUUGCAGGGUAUAGACCCGAAACCCGGUGAUCUAGCCAUGGGCAGGUUGAAGGUUGGGUAACACUAACUGGAGGACCGAACCGACUAAUGUUGAAAAAUUAGCGGAUGACCUGUGGCU
This 256-nucleotide ribosomal RNA is filed under the name Salmonella enterica subsp. enterica serovar Infantis. RNAcentral describes it as "partial 23S ribosomal RNA". It matches the Rfam family "Bacterial large subunit ribosomal RNA", at positions 560 to 816 of the family's 2925-position model. RNAcentral also lists the same sequence under 8 other names. Lineage: Bacteria; Pseudomonadati; Pseudomonadota; Gammaproteobacteria; Enterobacterales; Enterobacteriaceae. The record is from RNAcentral.